RNAcentral lists this ribosomal RNA (486 nucleotides) under uncultured bacterium. RNAcentral's name for it is "partial 16S ribosomal RNA". It matches the Rfam family "Bacterial small subunit ribosomal RNA", at positions 30 to 507 of the family's 1533-position model. The record is from RNAcentral.
AUUGAACGCUGGCGGCAUGCCUUACACAUGCAAGUCGAACGGCAGCACGGGUGCUUGCACCUGGUGGCGAGUGGCGAACGGGUGAGUAAUACAUCGGAACAUGUCCUGUAGUGGGGGAUAGCCCGGCGAAAGCCGGAUUAAUACCGCAUACGAUCUACGGAUGAAAGCGGGGGACCUUCGGGCCUCGCGCUAUAGGGUUGGCCGAUGGCUGAUUAGCUAGUUGGUGGGGUAAAGGCCUACCAAGGCGACGAUCAGUAGCUGGUCUGAGAGGACGACCAGCCACACUGGGACUGAGAAACGGCCCAGACUCCUAAGGGAGGCAGCAGUGGGGAAUUUUGGAAAAUGGGCGGAAGCCUGAUCCAGCAAUGCCGCGUGUGUGAAGAAGGCCUUCGGGUUGUAAAGCACUUUUGUCCGGAAAGAAAUCCUUGGCCCUAAUACGGUCGGGGGAUGACGGUACCGGAAGAAUAAGCACCGGCUAACUACGUG